GUACGUGUCGAGGUGGUUGUGACCCACGCUGCUCCAUCCCGAACCAGGCCGUGAACGCGACACACACCGAGGCUACUGCAGCACCCGCUGUGGGAACGUAGGGGGAUGCGUACC
Molecule: ribosomal RNA, 114 nt
Filed under: Herpetosiphon aurantiacus DSM 785
Lineage: Bacteria; Bacillati; Chloroflexota; Chloroflexia; Herpetosiphonales; Herpetosiphonaceae
Source: RNAcentral